This 778-nucleotide ribosomal RNA is filed under the name uncultured bacterium. RNAcentral's name for it is "bacterial SSU rRNA". It matches the Rfam family "Bacterial small subunit ribosomal RNA", at positions 8 to 796 of the family's 1533-position model. The record is from RNAcentral.
AGAGUUUGAUCCUGGCUCAGGACGAACGCUGGCGGCGUGCUUAACACAUGCAAGUCGAACGAUGAUGCUCCAGCUUGCUGGGGUGGAUUAGUGGCGAACGGGUGAGUAACACGUGGGUGAUCUGCCCUGCACUUCGGGAUAAGCCUGGGAAACUGGGUCUAAUACCGGAUAUGACCCUCCUUUAGUGUGGGGGGUGGAAAGCUUUAGCGGUGUGGGAUGAGCCUGCGGCCUAUCAGCUUGUUGGUGGGGUAAUGGCCUACCAAGGCGUCGACGGGUAGCCGGCCUGAGAGGGUGAUCGGCCACAUUGGGACUGAGACACGGCCCAGACUCCUACGGGAGGCAGCAGUGGGGAAUAUUGCACAAUGGGCGAAAGCCUGAUGCAGCGACGCCGCGUGGGGGAUGAAGGCCUUCGGGUUGUAAACUCCUUUCGCUAGGGACGAAGAUGUAUUUUGACGGUACCUGGAGAAGAAGCACCGGCUAACUACGUGCCAGCAGCCGCGGUAAUACGUAGGGUGCGAGCGUUGUCCGGAAUUACUGGGCGUAAAGAGCUCGUAGGUGGUUUGUCACGUCGUCUGUGAAAUCCCGGGGCUUAACUUCGGGCGUGCAGGCGAUACGGGCAUAACUUGAGUGCUGUAGGGGAGACUGGAAUUCCUGGUGUAGCGGUGAAAUGCGCAGAUAUCAGGAGGAACACCAAUGGCGAAGGCAGGUCUCUGGGCAGUAACUGACGCUGAGGAGCGAAAGCAUGGGUAGCGAACAGGAUUAGAUACCCUGGUAGUCC